UGAGACGGAUCUGUGAGCUGGGAUAUUGGGAGAUCAACAUGGGACGGCUGGGAUCAAACUUGGAGCAUUAAUCGCUAAGCACUUAGAGGGUGAUGUGGACACGGGUUCAGCUGCAAAUGCGACCUGCACACAUUAGUUUAGACAUCAUCCCAAUUAGUUCGACUUGACCUGCACACAUUAAACUCGACCAAUAAAAUCAGGCAAACUUGAAUUAUUUUUAAUAAUGCCAUGAUGAAGGGGAACACAUUUUCUUAUGUUUAAAUUUAAAAUAUGUGCAUAAAAAUAAUGAU
Molecule: long non-coding RNA, 290 nt
Filed under: Phoenix dactylifera (date palm)
Lineage: Eukaryota; Viridiplantae; Streptophyta; Magnoliopsida; Arecales; Arecaceae
Description: long non-coding RNA (PDAC_LNC007761)
Source: RNAcentral